Molecule: long non-coding RNA, 552 nt
Organism: Daphnia magna
Lineage: Eukaryota; Metazoa; Arthropoda; Branchiopoda; Diplostraca; Daphniidae
Exons: 2
Source: RefSeq, a predicted model, not a curated record
UGGAAAGUGGAUGGGUGUGAACAACGUUGGCAUUGGUGGUGUGGCAUCAAUUGAACAUGCAUAAACUUUAUUGCUCUAACCAUCAGCCCAAGAUUGCCAUCACUAAAGUGGCCUUGUUAAACAGUAAAAGAAACGAUCACGGUAUAACUGGCAAAUAGCUGAGGAUUGUACAGAUCUAUUACGAUUUUUUGCUUACCCAAGCAUUCGUCGCUAAUGUAGUAUUUAUCUCGGUAGAACAUGCCUAGCGGGACAUGAGAUAAACAAGGGAUGCCUACGGUUAACGUCAUCCAAUCCAUAAUGUACGUUUGACCACACCGUAUUGUACUCAAAGAAAUCUGCUGGUGACGCAAGUAGUGCUAGCAUCCGACUGAGUACUACCACCAGAGAUGACGGCUAAUAAGGACAUCCCAAAGAAUGUUCGAAUGAAUUUCUUUUAAAACUAAAGAAGGAAAGCAAACAACACUUUAAUGGGCGUGACACGAAGACCGGUUUUCUAAACCGUAACGCGUGUAGACUAUAUGUUGCUCAAAGAGAAACCGCGUUCCAAUACUU